This is a long non-coding RNA of Canis lupus familiaris (dog), 560 nucleotides long. RefSeq lists it as uncharacterized. The record is from RefSeq and is a predicted model, not a curated record. The transcript has 4 exons. Lineage: Eukaryota; Metazoa; Chordata; Mammalia; Carnivora; Canidae.
GCGGCGGCCGUGCGGAGCCUCGAGGGCGGACGGGGACACGCGCCGGGCCGCGGCCCUACGGAGGACGCGAUCAAACCCUGACGAACGGGUCUCGGAGAGUCGGAGAGGGGCGGUCUUUGAACCGCUUUGCCGAGGGUGGGAACAGCGGCAGCCCCGGAGUUGAAUAACGCGGCGCCAGGAGGCUGUGAGGAACAGUCACAAUUUGAAAACUACACAAAGGCUUAUUUUAUAAGUCUUUACACUUAGACUAUAUUAGCUGGGUCAAGCUUCCUUUCUGGUGGGAUUUGUGUGUCCCGAAGGCUGGUGUUUCUUUUGAAUGAAAAAUGGCCUUUUAAAAAAAAAAUCCAACCAUCUCAGUCCAGGUGCCAGACAGAGUGAAGAAGCAAUCCUGGACAUCCAGCCCUGCAUCUUCAGCUAGAAUUUUCCUCAAAAAAAGACAUAUUUCUGAAAAACCAGAAGGCAUAAAACAAUUCAGAAAGUGAAGAAAAAAAAGAAGAAAAAGAAGAAGAGGAGGAGGAGGAAGAGGAAGAAGAAGAAGAAACAACCCACAAGUAUGCAAG